RNAcentral lists this ribosomal RNA (488 nucleotides) under uncultured bacterium. Its description in RNAcentral is "partial 16S ribosomal RNA". It matches the Rfam family "Bacterial small subunit ribosomal RNA", at positions 28 to 507 of the family's 1533-position model. The record is from RNAcentral.
GACGAACGCUGGCGGCGUGCCUAACACAUGCAAGUCGAACGCAUCUUUCCUGCCUUGUGCUGGCGCUCGAUUGGCGAACGGGGGAGUAACACGUGAGUAACCUGCCCUGUAAUUUAGGAUAACUUCGGGGAACUCGGUCUGAUACCGGAGCGGAUAUCCUGCUGCAGGUUGUGGGUUGGAGAGUUUGGGUGGUUGGGGCUUUACGCGGGGUGUAUGAGCUGGUUGGGGGGGUAAUGGCUUACCAAGGUUUGGACGGGUAGCCGACCGGAGAGAGUGAUCGGCCACACUGGGACUGGGACACGGCCCAGACUCCUACGGGAGGCAGCAGUAGGGAAUCGUCGGCAAAGGACGAAAGUCUGACCGAGCAACGCCGCGUGAGUGAAGAAGGUGCCCGGAUCGUAAAACUCUGUUGUUAGAGAAGAACAAGGACGUUAGUAACUGAACGUCCCCUGACGGUAUCUAACCAGAAAGCCACGGCUAACUACGUG